RNAcentral lists this ribosomal RNA (399 nucleotides) under uncultured Fusobacterium sp. Its description in RNAcentral is "bacterial SSU rRNA". It matches the Rfam family "Bacterial small subunit ribosomal RNA", at positions 75 to 486 of the family's 1533-position model. Lineage: Bacteria; Fusobacteriati; Fusobacteriota; Fusobacteriia; Fusobacteriales; Fusobacteriaceae. The record is from RNAcentral.
GGGUUUUUAACUUAGGUUUGGGUGGCGGACGGGUGAGUAACGCGUAAAGAACUUGCCUCACAGGUAGGGACAACAUUUGGAAACGAAUGCUAAUACCUAAUAUUAUGAUAAUAGGGCAUCCUAUAAUUAUGAAAGCUAUAAGCGCUGUGAGAGAGCUUUGCGUCCCAUUAGCUAGUUGGAGAGGUAACGGCUCACCAAGGCGAUGAUGGGUAGCCGGCCUGAGAGGGUGAUCGGCCACAAGGGGACUGAGACACGGCCCUUACUCCUACGGGAGGCAGCAGUGGGGAAUAUUGGACAAUGGACCAAGAGUCUGAUCCAGCAAUUCUGUGUGCACGAUGAAGUUUUUCGGAAUGUAAAGUGCUUUCAGUUGGGAAGAAAGAAAUGACGGUACCAACAGAA